UUCGGUGGUCAUAGCGAAGAGGACACACCCGUUCCCAUUUCGAACACGGAAGUUAAGCUCUUCAGCGCCGAUGGUACUGCCAGGGUGACUUGGUGGGAGAGUAGGUCACUGCCGAAU
This 117-nucleotide ribosomal RNA is filed under the name Pseudomonadota bacterium. Lineage: Bacteria; Pseudomonadati; Pseudomonadota. RNAcentral also lists the same sequence under 1 other name. The record is from RNAcentral.